RNAcentral lists this ribosomal RNA (215 nucleotides) under uncultured bacterium. RNAcentral's name for it is "partial 16S ribosomal RNA". It matches the Rfam family "Bacterial small subunit ribosomal RNA", at positions 1285 to 1500 of the family's 1533-position model. The record is from RNAcentral.
AUCUCAUUCGGAUUGUAGUCUGNAACCCGACUACAUGAAGCUGGAAUCGCUAGUAAUCGCAGAUCAGAAUGCUGCGGUGAAUACGUUCCCGGGUCUUGUACACACCGCCCGUCACACCAUGGGAGUUGGAAAUGCCCGAAGCCAGUGACCCAACCGUAAGGAGGGAGCUGUCGAAGGUGGAGCCGAUGACUGGGGUGAAGUCGUAACAAGGUAGC